RNAcentral lists this long non-coding RNA (285 nucleotides) under Homo sapiens (human). Its description in RNAcentral is "non-protein coding lnc-ESS2-5:2". Lineage: Eukaryota; Metazoa; Chordata; Mammalia; Primates; Hominidae. The record is from RNAcentral.
GAUCCCUGGCUUUGAUUACGGCCCAGACGGGUUUGGCACGGGCCUCACGCCGCUGCAUCUUUCUGACGACGGAGAGGGUGGGACUUUCCAUUUCCACGACCCUCCACCUCCCUACACGGCAUACAAGUACCCGGACAUCGGCCAGCCCGACGACCCUCCGCCGCCCUACGAGGCCUCCAUCCACCCGGACAGUGUGUUCUAUGACCCUGCAACGAUGAUGCUUUUGAGCCUGUGGAGGUCAGCCUGCCAGCCCCUGGGGAUGGUGGGAGUGAAGGUGCAUUACUC